UCAAACCGCCGACCUUCUGAUCGGCAAGUCCUAGGCUCUGUGGUUUAACACAAAGUGCCACCCGUGUGUUUUAUUUCUUUUUAGCUACUGUUGGCUUUAAUAAUACCUUGGAACGUUUUUAUAUACAGUAAUUUUUUAACUUUUUAAAUUGAUCAUGUUAAUGUUUUAUAUUUUUGUAAACUGCAUUGAGAUUUUCUUACAAUCAAGUGGUAUAUAUACACAUUUUGUUAAUUAAGAGCUGGCUAAUUAGUUGCCUUAUCCCAGGCAUGUUUACUGAAAGGUACCACUGAGUUUAGCAAUAACAAUUUCUUGUCAGUUGUUUUUGUUCUUUGAACAGGUUGAGGAGUUUCACAUACAUCCUCAUUAACCCUACAAGAGCCACAGAACCCUGUGUUCCGCUCAUGUAGAGUGCAGUCUUCAGACAAAAAGGCUCACAGGCAUCUGCUGCAGCUACAUUAUUCCCCCCCCCCCCACCAGGCUGUGGACACAGCCAUACCUUUCAUUGAGUUGAGACCUGGGCCACAAUCUCUCCAGCUCAGCAUCCUAGCAUUCACAACUUCUUUUUUCCAGAUUUUCCUCAAGUGGCAGCAAGGGUGGCAGGGGGCUACUUUGAAUUUAGUUGAAGCCUGGACUACUGACCAACUUUCUGAGCUGAAACUUGCAUCUGAGUAAGACAACUCAGUCCAUUGCUCUGGUGGUGAACUGAAAGAACUCGUGCGUCCACAUUUAAGGCCUUGGUGAAAAGAAGAGUAAGCCGCUGAGGACAUUACAGAUGGCAGAAGCCUCAUGGAAUCUGCAGAGGGCAAAUUCAUUUGUUCAGUCCCUUGCAACCCCUUUCCUUUCUUGGAAGGAAAGGUCUCCGGACAGUUCUUGGGUAGGUAGUAUAACAUGAUCAUUCCUGAGUUGAUUUGCUAAAAGGGGUGGGGGAAUCCCACUCCUCUCCCUUUCAUUUGAGAUUCACAGAGUUCCAGCUAGGAUUAUAAAUUCCUUUACAGGCUUCCCCUCGCUUGCAAACAUCUACUUGCUGCCUCUAGGCUUCAUAACUGCUUUGAGCAACAGGGCUUGGAAAUUCUCUGGGGCAAAUAAAGAGGUAGACGUAGACUCUGGUUCUCUGGGCUUCUUCCCAGAGAGCUCUCCCUCCUCCUUGCUUGUAAUAGGUUCUAACACCAGUUUACACUAUGGAAAGGGCUUCCUCUUCUCCUUACAGAGGGGUGGAUGAGAAGCAGGUGAGACAGCUUGCCACUUUUUGCUUACACCAAUGUUCUCAGCCCACUGCUGCUGCUUAGCUUAGCCUGAUUCAGCAGCAUGCAAUCUUGAGAAAAGCACCGCCUGUCAUCUUAAUGCAGCAGGAAAGCAAUCACCAGCAAUCUAACUGAAUUUUUGCAGGGUUGUGCACUUUGUGGUCAAGGUGUGGACCCCUGUGGUGCCCAGCAGCUGGAGGGCAUUAGAAUGGACCCCCCACACCACAACCUUUCCAAUGGAUACCAUCAGAGAGCGGAGGGGGUCAUCCUGAGCAGUUGCUGCUUAUGUUGCUUCCUCCCCGCACUGACCAGGCACACAUGCCAAGCUGCUUGUCUGCAUGUUGCUGAGACUUCCUAAGGGUAGCUAUGUGUAAAACUGUACACAUUAUCCUCACCAGCCUAGGCAAGUGAAGCACCUAGGCACUACAGGACCCAUAAUUCUCCUCAGGAUUUGGUUUUGGUGAAUUUCCAUGCCUUUGCUAGCUGUAUGGAGGAGAGACUCUGGGAUAGGUGGGGUGGGAGCUGCUGCACAGGGGAAUCAAUGUUUUGCUCAGCAGGCUUCACAACAGAAGCAUGCGGCUAACCAAGUAGCUGGCGUAGGCCAAACUCUUGUGAGGCUGUUGUGCCACAUUCAUCAUUCAUGUGACUAACCCCACCGUAGGAGACAGGAAGUCUGAUGGGAAUUUCCUGCUCCAGAAUGUCCUCCACUACCCAAAGAGAACACAGAACAUAUACACAAUAUAUCACAAAUAUGUAAAAAUGACCAUCAAGGACCUUAUCGAUGUUCAGCCACUAGUUAAAAGCACAAUACAUCUUACAGUACAUUCAAAUUUAGGCAUCCUGAAAGUAAGACAGAUAAAACCUCAGGUGGUUAAAUCUUUCCUACAUCUGAGAACACAUACAAUUUUACUUAACAGCAUCAUAGUUACAGUAGUUGCUCUGAACGAUUAAUGAAGGAAAGCAACAAGUAGUUUAGCUGAAACAAAUAUGAUCAUACAAAGGCAUGUUUUGAAAUAUAGUCAAGAAAAACAGCAGAAUGUGUUGUAUUAUUUUUUGGAAAGAAGAGCUUUACAUCUAAGCAGAACACGUGACAACCAGUAAGCAAUGGUCAACAUGCAACAGGAUUACUGGACUCUGCUUAAAAUAAAAUUUUGAAUACUAAACAGGUGCUCCAAAAUCAAGAGCAAACUCUUCUUCUUGCUCACAGAGCAAUUAUUUCUCCUAGUUACUUAAAAUAAUGCCUCAUUCUGCCAGGGCCAUGUUCUUCAACUGCAGUUUAUCAAUUUCUUGACCAAUACUGCCUUCCACUGUAUCACACUGUGCAAGGAAACCCUAAAAGCAAAAUUAAGGACAAUGAGGCUUAAUGCAAUAGGGUAUCUAAAAACCAAGCAUAGUAUUUUUUUUAUAUAGGAAAGACAACAAGAACAACUUAGCUUAUGAGCUAUGGGCACAAGUAAUUCUUUCUAUUAAAACAUACCUAAGAUCUGGUGUAGCAAUAACCAGUUUGCGAUUUGGAAGCCAGCCUAAGGAAUGGGUGCUCCCUCCCUCUAGCUUUCUUUACGCUCUUUAAUUUGAAUUGAACCCUCCCUUCCUGUUCUUCUUAACCAUAGCUUUACAUCUGAAAAUCAUGGUUUCCAUCUUGACCAAGAGUCCAAACUGAUAGUGGGCUUGUAAAUCACAGCUGAGAGGGAGCAUGAUUAGUGUUUACCAAAAUUAGGCAAUGGUGCAAAUGUAAUGCAAAACCACAGUUAAAGGAACAGGAGGGGUUAAGACACACCCGAAAGGGAACACAUGCAUUCCCAAGGCUCACUCCCAGUUUGCAAGCAAUAGUUUGACUACUUAGGAACCAGUAGAUUAACACUGGGAAUCCAUGAAAUUGUUGCCAUUCAGCUAUUCAAAUAUAAACGUUUGCUAUCUGCAAGAAAGUCUGCAAGAAAAAAGAAGAAGAAGAGAUGACCAGGUGUUCAACUACUGAAUGCUCCUCUGAGGAGUGGGAGAGAGCCUGAGACUGAUGAGCAAUGUGACUUCUAGGUGCUUUUGUCAAACUGCAUGCUAUUCUGGACUACUAUUUUGUUUACAUUUUCUGAAAUUUAAAAUGCAAUUCCAAGGGAAUGUAACCAAUACAAAUGGUAAUAAACACAUAGCUAGGACGAUG
Long non-coding RNA from Podarcis muralis (Common wall lizard), 3396 nucleotides. RefSeq lists it as uncharacterized. Lineage: Eukaryota; Metazoa; Chordata; Lepidosauria; Squamata; Lacertidae. The record is from RefSeq and is a predicted model, not a curated record.